This 25-nucleotide non-coding RNA is filed under the name Mus musculus (house mouse). Lineage: Eukaryota; Metazoa; Chordata; Mammalia; Rodentia; Muridae. The record is from RNAcentral.
UGAUUUAUCACAGAAGCUCCACCCC